UAGGGAAUCUUCCACAAUGGGCGCAAGCCUGAUGGAGCAACACCGCGUGAGUGAAGAAGGGUUUCGGCUCGUAAAACUCUGUUGUUGGAGAAGAACGUGCGUAAGAGUAACUGUUUACGCAGUGACGGUAUCCAACCAGAAAGUCACGGCUAACUACGUGCCAGCAGCCGCGGUAAUACGUAGGUGGCAAGCGUUAUCCGGAUUUAUUGGGCGUAAAGCGAGCGCAGGCGGUUGCUUAGGUCUGAUGUGAAAGCCUUCGGCUUAACCGAAGAAGUGCAUCGGAAACCGGGCGACUUGAGUGCAGAAGAGGACAGUGGAACUCCAUGUGUAGCGGUGGAAUGCGUAGAUAUAUGGAAGAACACCAGUGGCGAAGGCGGCUGUCUGGUCUGCAACUGACGCUGAGGCUCGAAAGCAUGGGUAGCGAACAGGAUUAGAUACCCUGGUAGUCCAUGCCGUAAACGAUGAGUGCUAGGUGUUGGAGGGUUUCCGCCCUUCAGUGCCGAAGCUAACGCAUUAAGCACUCCGCCUGGGGAGUACGACCGCAAGGUUG
Molecule: ribosomal RNA, 550 nt
Filed under: uncultured bacterium
Lineage: Bacteria
Description: bacterial SSU rRNA
Rfam family: Bacterial small subunit ribosomal RNA
Source: RNAcentral